This 205-nucleotide ribosomal RNA is filed under the name uncultured bacterium. RNAcentral's name for it is "partial 16S ribosomal RNA". It matches the Rfam family "Bacterial small subunit ribosomal RNA", at positions 570 to 774 of the family's 1533-position model. The record is from RNAcentral.
UGUAGGCGGUCAGGUAAGUGAGAUGUGAAAUGCCCCGGCUCACCCGGGGACCGGCAUCUCAUACUGCUUGGCUUGAGUACGGGAGAGGAUGUGGGAAUUCCUGGUGUAGCGGUGAAAUGCGUAGAUAUCAGGAGGAACACCGGUGGCGAAGGCGCACAUCUGGCCCGAUACUGACGCUGAGGCGCGAAAGCUAGGGGAGCAGACG